This 235-nucleotide unclassified non-coding RNA is filed under the name Glomus sp. RNAcentral's name for it is "partial contains 5.8S ribosomal RNA and internal transcribed spacer 2". The stretch from base 1 to 72 matches the Rfam family "5.8S ribosomal RNA", at positions 84 to 154 of the family's 154-position model. Lineage: Eukaryota; Fungi; Glomeromycota; Glomeromycetes; Glomerales; Glomeraceae. The record is from RNAcentral.
GUGAAUCAUCAAAUUUUUGAACGCAAAUUGCACUCUCCGGUUUUCCGGGAGAGUAUGCCUGUUUGAGGGUCUGUUUAAACAAUAAUCGAGGCUGCUGCUGUGGUGGCUCUUCGGAAUUUGGCCGUCUUCUACCUUUCGGGUUUUUAAGCGCCCGAAAAUUUUUCUUACGAUUUCUCCGAACGUGUCUAAGAAUUUUUCUUGUACGUUCGAGACAUCGAACUCAUAUUAGAAGCGU